UACGUAGGGCGCAAGCGUUAUCCGGAAUUAUUGGGCGUAAAGGGCGCGUAGGCGGCUUGGCAAGUGGAUGGUGAAAUCCCUCGGCUUAACCGAGGAACUGCCGUCCAAACUGCUUCGCUUGAGACCGGGAGAGGUGAGUGGAAUUCCCAGUGUAGCGGUGAAAUGCGUAGAUAUUGGGAGGAACACCAGUGGCGAAGGCGGCUCACUGGACCGGUACUGACGCUGAUGCGCGAAAGCGUGGGGAGCAAACGGG
Molecule: ribosomal RNA, 253 nt
Filed under: uncultured bacterium
Lineage: Bacteria
Description: partial 16S ribosomal RNA
Rfam family: Bacterial small subunit ribosomal RNA
Source: RNAcentral